GCCUGGCUGGCUCAGUCAGUGGAGCAUGUGGCUCUUAACCUCAGGGUUGUAGGUUCGAGCCCCACAUUGGGUG
Transfer RNA from Felis catus (domestic cat), 73 nucleotides. It matches the Rfam family "tRNA". Rfam says of the family: Transfer RNA (tRNA) molecules are approximately 80 nucleotides in length. Their secondary structure includes four short double-helical elements and three loops (D, anti-codon, and T loops). The record is from Rfam. NCBI's taxonomy places the organism in Eukaryota, Metazoa, Chordata, Mammalia, Carnivora, Felidae.